CUUUAUCUGAGAGUUUGAUCCUGGCUCAGGACGAACGCUGGCGGCGUGCCUAAUACAUGCAAGUCGAGCGCGUGAAACCGGCGGAUCCCUUCGGGGUGAAACCGGUGGAACGAGCGGCGGACGGGUGAGUAACACGUGGACAACUUACCUUGCAGACUGGGAUAACUCCGGGAAACCG
RNAcentral lists this ribosomal RNA (178 nucleotides) under Actinophytocola xinjiangensis. RNAcentral describes it as "partial 16S ribosomal RNA". It matches the Rfam family "Bacterial small subunit ribosomal RNA", at positions 1 to 159 of the family's 1533-position model. The record is from RNAcentral. RNAcentral also lists the same sequence under 1 other name. Lineage: Bacteria; Bacillati; Actinomycetota; Actinomycetes; Pseudonocardiales; Pseudonocardiaceae.